RNAcentral lists this ribosomal RNA (527 nucleotides) under Pelagodinium bei. RNAcentral describes it as "eukaryotic LSU rRNA". It matches the Rfam family "Eukaryotic large subunit ribosomal RNA", at positions 278 to 813 of the family's 3401-position model. The record is from RNAcentral. Lineage: Eukaryota; Dinophyceae; Suessiales; Suessiaceae.
AAUUGGAGCGUAAAGUGGGUGGUAAAUUUCAUCUAAAGCUAAAUAUAGGCUUGAGACCGAUAGCAAACAAGUACCAUGAGGGAAAGAUGAAAAGGACUUUGAAAAGAGAGUUAAAAGUGCUUGAAAUCGCUGAAAGGGAAGCGAAUGGAACCAGUCUUCUGGCUGAGAUUGUUGCGUGCUACUGUGAUGCCUGGCUGCUUCAACGCAAGUGUGGCAGUUAGAGUUGAUCAGCUGUGCGUGAUGUUUCUCAGCUUGUUAGUCAACCUUUGUUCGUGCUUGGGGAUAACUGCAGGUUCCAUGCUCUUCCCUGCGGGGUUGAUCUCGUGCCUGUAAGGACUCAGGUGUGUACACUUGGUGACAAAAUGGUUCUCUUCGACCCGUCUUGAAACACGGACCAAGGAGUCUAGCACAUGUGCAAGUUCACAGGUGGCAAGCCUGCUUGCGCAAUGAAGGUGACUGCUGGGAUAUUUGCACCAGCAACCGACCAAUCAAUUGAGAGAAGUUUGAGUAUGAGCAUAUGUGUUAGG